RNAcentral lists this long non-coding RNA (487 nucleotides) under Pan troglodytes (chimpanzee). Its description in RNAcentral is "lncRNA (ENSPTRG00000054287.1)". The record is from RNAcentral. Lineage: Eukaryota; Metazoa; Chordata; Mammalia; Primates; Hominidae.
AAUGAGAUAAUCUGUUGAAAGUCCUUGACCUAAUAUCUGUCCUAUGGAAGUGGUCAUAAAUGCUGGCUAUUAUUACCAUUAUUAUUAAGAUGGAAUGAUGAUGACGAUGAUGAUGAUGAUGAUGACGAUGAUGAGAUGACAAUCAUUAUGAUGAAAGAGAAGGACCAAAGGAAAGAAAACAGGAAUGAGAGUGUUCCUAGUAAUGGAAAAGGAGGAAGAAGAGGAAACAUUCCAGACAGAAGCAAUCUCUUACUGCAAGAGAAUAAGAAGUAAUAAGAAUUUUCAUCAUUUGAAAUGCAGCCAUGUGGCAAUUUUAUCCAUCCAGAACAACUGACAUACAGUAAAUACUUAACAUGUAGCAGAUUCUGCUGUGUUUUUUGAUGUCUUGUUAUAUUAAAUCUCUUCAACCACACUAUGAGGUAGGUGUGUCUUUCCUUCUCAUUCUGUGAAGUAAGGAAAUGGAGUCAUAGAGAAGUUACAUGUGCAG